GACGAACGCUGGCGGCGUGCUUAACACAUGCAAGUCGAACGGAAAGGCCCUGCUUUUGUGGGGUGCUCGAGUGGCGAACGGGUGAGUAACACGUGAGUAACCUGCCCUUGACUUUGGGAUAACUUCAGGAAACUGGGUCUAAUACCGGAUAGGAGCUCCUGCUGCAUGUUGGGGGUUGGAAAGUUUCGGCGGUUGGGGAUGGACUCGCGGCUUAUCAGCUUGUUGGUGGGGUAGUGGCUUACCAAGGCUUUGACGGGUAGCCGGCCUGAGAGGGUUACCGGCCACAUUGGGACUGAGAUACGGCCCAGACGCCUACGGGAGGCAGCAGUGGGGAAUAUUGCACAAUGGGCGGAAGCCUGAUGCAGCAACGCCGCGUGCGGGAUGACGGCCUUCGGGUUGUAAACCGAUGUCGCCGGUGACGAAGAGUGAGUGACGGUAAUGGGUAAAGAAGCACCGGCUAACUACGUG
RNAcentral lists this ribosomal RNA (468 nucleotides) under uncultured bacterium. RNAcentral's name for it is "partial 16S ribosomal RNA". It matches the Rfam family "Bacterial small subunit ribosomal RNA", at positions 28 to 507 of the family's 1533-position model. The record is from RNAcentral.